GGAAGUGUGGCCGAGUGGUUUAAGGCACUGGUCUUGAAAACCAGCGAGGGUAACACCUCCGUGAGUUCGAAUCUCACCGCUUCCGCCA
Molecule: transfer RNA, 88 nt
Filed under: Methylococcus sp.
Lineage: Bacteria; Pseudomonadati; Pseudomonadota; Gammaproteobacteria; Methylococcales; Methylococcaceae
Also listed under: 2 other names
Description: tRNA-Ser
Rfam family: tRNA
About the family: Transfer RNA (tRNA) molecules are approximately 80 nucleotides in length. Their secondary structure includes four short double-helical elements and three loops (D, anti-codon, and T loops).
Source: RNAcentral